AGAGUUUGAUCCUGGCUCAGAGUGAACGCUGGCGGUAGGCCUAACACAUGCAAGUCGAACGGCAGCACAGGAGAGCUUGCUCUCUGGGUGGCGAGUGGCGGACGGGUGAGGAAUACAUCGGAAUCUACUUUUUCGUGGGGGAUAACGUAGGGAAACUUACGCUAAUACCGCAUACGACCUACGGGUGAAAGCAGGGGAUCUUCGGACCUUGCGCGAUUGAAUGAGCCGAUGUCGGAUUAGCUAGUUGGCGGGGUAAAGGCCCACCAAGGCGACGAUCCGUAGCUGGUCUGAGAGGAUGAUCAGCCACACUGGAACUGAGACACGGUCCAGACUCCUACGGGAGGCAGCAGUGGGGAAUAUUGGACAAUGGGCGCAAGCCUGAUCCAGCCAUACCGCGUGGGUGAAGAAGGCCUUCGGGUUGUAAAGCCCUUUUGUUGGGAAAGAAAUCCAGCUGGCUAAUACCCGGUUGGGAUGACGGUACCCAAAGAAUAAGCACCGGCUAACUUCGUGCCAGCAGCCGCGGUAAUACGAAGGGUGCAAGCGUUACUCGGAAUUACUGGGCGUAAAGCGUGCGUAGGUGGUCGUUUAAGUCCGUUGUGAAAGCCCUGGGCUCAACCUGGGAACUGCAGUGGAUACUGGGCGACUAGAGUGUGGUAGAGGGUAGCGGAAUUCCUGGUGUAGCAGUGAAAUGCGUAGAGAUCAGGAGGAACAUCCCAUGGCGAAAGGCAGCUACCUGGACCAACACUGACACUGA
Molecule: ribosomal RNA, 754 nt
Filed under: uncultured bacterium
Lineage: Bacteria
Description: bacterial SSU rRNA
Rfam family: Bacterial small subunit ribosomal RNA
Source: RNAcentral